Molecule: ribosomal RNA, 460 nt
Filed under: uncultured bacterium
Lineage: Bacteria
Description: partial 16S ribosomal RNA
Rfam family: Bacterial small subunit ribosomal RNA
Source: RNAcentral
CCUACGGGCGGCAGCAGUGAGGAAUAUUGGUCAAUGGCCGUAAGGCUGAACCAGCCAAGCCGCGUGAAGGAAGAAGGUUCUAUGGUUUGUAAACCUCUUUUAUAGGGGAAUAAAGGCAUCCACGUGUGGAUAUUUGCAUGUACCCUAUGAAUAAGCAUCGGCUAACUCCGUGCCAGCAGCCGCGGUAAUACGGAGGAUGCGAGCGUUAUCCGGAUUUAUUGGGGGUAAAGGGUGCGUAGGUUGUUUUUUAAGUUAGCGGUGAAAGUUUGUGGCUCAACCAUAAAAUUGCCGUUGAAACUGGAAGACUUGAGUGUGGUAGAGGUAGGCGGAAUGCGUGGUGUAGCGGUGAAAUGCAUAGAUAUCACGCAGAACUCCGAUUGCGAAGGCAGCUUACUGGGCCAUAACUGACGCUGAGGCACGAAAGCGUGGGGAUCAAACAGGAUUAGAUACCCUGGUAGUC